CCCUAAAACUUUUUGGUGAUUUUUAUGGACCAAAAGAAGACCAGCGAGCAUCGGAAGAAGGUUGGAGGCCUUACGAGGGGCCCACAAGCCAAUAGGGCACGGCCUGGGGGCACGCCCUUGUGGCUUGUGCCUCCCUCGUGGCCCUCCCGACUGUGUUCUUUGGCUUAUUAAUUCUCAUCUACCCUAAAAACACCAUGGGA
This 200-nucleotide long non-coding RNA is filed under the name Hordeum vulgare. RNAcentral describes it as "long non-coding RNA (HVUL_LNC011056)". The record is from RNAcentral. Lineage: Eukaryota; Viridiplantae; Streptophyta; Magnoliopsida; Poales; Poaceae.